UCCUGACUGACCGAUAGUGAACCAGUACCGUGAGGGAAAGGCGAAAAGAACCCCGGCGAGGGGAGUGAAAAAGAACCUGAAACCGUGUACGUACAAGCAGUGGGAGCCUCUUUUAUGGGGUGACUGCGUACCUUUUGUAUAAUGGGUCAGCGACUUAUAUUCUGUAGCAAGGUUAACCGAAUAGGGGAGCCGAAGGGAAACCGAGUCUUAACUGGGCGUUAAGUUGCAGGGUAUAGACCCGAAACCCGGUGAUCUAGCCAUGGGCAGGUUGAAGGUUGGGUAACACUAACUGGAGGACCGAACCGACUAAUGUUGAAAAAUUAGCGGAUGACUUGUGGCUGGGGGUGAAAGGCCAAUCAAACCGGGAGAUAGCUGGUUCUCCCCGAAAGCUAUUUAGGUAGCGCCUCGUGAAUUCAUCUCCGGGGGUAGAGCACUGUUUCGGCAAGGGGGUCAUCCCGACUUACCAACCCGAUGCAAACUGCGAAUACCGGAGAAUGUUAUCACGGGAGACACACGGCGGGUGCUAACGUCCGUCGUGAAGAGGGAAACAACCCAGACCGCCAGCUAAGGUCCCAAAGUCAUGGUUAAGUGGGAAACGAUGUGGGAAGGCCCAGACAGCCAGGAUGUUGGCUUAGAAGCAGCCAUCAUUUAAAGAAAGCGUAAUAGCUCACUGGUCGAGUCGGCCUGCGCGGAAGAUGUAACGGGGCUAAACCAUGCACCGAAGCUGCGGCAGCGACGCUUAUGCGUUGUUGGGUAGGGGAGCGUUCUG
Molecule: ribosomal RNA, 769 nt
Filed under: Escherichia coli
Lineage: Bacteria; Pseudomonadati; Pseudomonadota; Gammaproteobacteria; Enterobacterales; Enterobacteriaceae
Description: partial 23S ribosomal RNA
Rfam family: Bacterial large subunit ribosomal RNA
Source: RNAcentral